RNAcentral lists this ribosomal RNA (583 nucleotides) under Chaetomium globosum. Its description in RNAcentral is "LSU rRNA". It matches the Rfam family "Eukaryotic large subunit ribosomal RNA", at positions 36 to 617 of the family's 3401-position model. The record is from RNAcentral. Lineage: Eukaryota; Fungi; Ascomycota; Sordariomycetes; Sordariales; Chaetomiaceae.
GUGCAUAUCAAUAAGCGGAGGAAAAGAAACCAACAGGGAUUGCCCUAGUAACGGCGAGUGAAGCGGCAACAGCUCAAAUUUGAAAUCUGGCUUCGGCCCGAGUUGUAAUUUGCAGAGGAAGCUUUAGGCGCGGCACUUUCUGAGUCCCCUGGAACGGGGCGCCAUAGAGGGUGAGAGCCCCGUAUAGUUAGAUGCCUAGCCUGUGUAAAGCUCCUUCGACGAGUCGAGUAGUUUGGGAAUGCUGCUCAAAAUGGGAGGUAAAUUUCUUCUAAAGCUAAAUACCGGCCAGAGACCGAUAGCGCACAAGUAGAGUGAUCGAAAGAUGAAAAGCACUUUGAAAAGAGGGUUAAAUAGCACGUGAAAUUGUUGAAAGGGAAGCGCUUGUGACCAGACUUGCGCCGGGCAGAUCAUCCGGUGUUCUCACCGGUGCACUCUGCCCGGCUCAGGCCAGCAUCGGUUCUCGCGGGGGGAUAAAGGCCCUGGGAACGUAGCUCCUUCCGGGUGUGUUAUAGCCCGGGGCGUAAUCCCCUCGCGGGGUGUUGGUUCGCGCUCUGCAAGGAUGCCGCGAGGUUACACUCGGUAU